RNAcentral lists this ribosomal RNA (549 nucleotides) under Triticum aestivum (bread wheat). RNAcentral describes it as "partial small subunit ribosomal RNA". Lineage: Eukaryota; Viridiplantae; Streptophyta; Magnoliopsida; Poales; Poaceae. The record is from RNAcentral.
AUGCAUGCAUGGACAGAAAAGGAGAGAAGGCGAGGACGUACUGAGGGCCUGGGUCUUGCGGCGGUGGUCGGCGGUGAGGAAGACGGUGGAGGGGACGACCUUGGCGGGGCCGCAGGUGUAGCCGGGGCCGGGGCCGAGGAGGGUGAAGUUCUUGGGGACCUUGACGGUGCGGUUGGUGGUGCCGGCCUGGCCGACGCUGACCUGGAAGGAGGACACGGCGCCGGACGGGUCCUGGCCGUAGGCGGAGACGACGCCGCCGCGGCAGCAGUUGGCGAUCUGCUGGUUGUAGGGCACGCCCGGGAGCAGGUCGACGACGGCGGGGGUGCGCUUGCACGAGUGCGGGAGGUUGGCCUUGAACUUGGAGCAGUCGCCCUGCUCCGUGGCCUGCGCGCCCACCAUGGACCAGAUCACCUCCCGCUUCGCCCACGUCCACCCCACCGUCCACCCCGGCGCCAUGAUCUGCCGGUACGUCUGGAAGUUGUUGAUCGUCACCGUCGCCUGCCAUGCGUGCAUGCAACCGAUCGGUUAGUUCGUCCACAUUGUUCCUGA